RNAcentral lists this transfer RNA (73 nucleotides) under Cricetulus griseus (Chinese hamster). It matches the Rfam family "tRNA". From Rfam's summary of the family: Transfer RNA (tRNA) molecules are approximately 80 nucleotides in length. Their secondary structure includes four short double-helical elements and three loops (D, anti-codon, and T loops). The record is from Rfam by way of RNAcentral. Lineage: Eukaryota; Metazoa; Chordata; Mammalia; Rodentia; Cricetidae.
AGCCGGCUAGCUCAGUCAGUAGAGCAUGAGACUCUUAAUUUCAGGGUCGUGGGUUCGUGUCCCACGUUGGGUG